RNAcentral lists this small RNA (539 nucleotides) under Pan troglodytes (chimpanzee). RNAcentral describes it as "processed transcript". Lineage: Eukaryota; Metazoa; Chordata; Mammalia; Primates; Hominidae. The record is from RNAcentral.
AAAAGUUCUCAUUGUUCUGAGCUCAGUUAUUUUCUCUGUGCUACAGGACAGAGGAUCCCUUGGCAUGAAAUAAGAGCUAAGUGGUCCAACAGGCGUUGAAGUGUUAAAACAAGAAUAGAAUGGAGACUUGCUCUUUUGCCCAGGCUGGAGUGCAGUGGCGCGAUCUCGGCUCCCUGCAACCUCUGCCUCCCGGGUUCAAGUGAUUCUCCUGCCUCAGCCUCCUGAGUAGCUGGGAUUAUAGGCACGCGCCACCACGCCCAGCUAAUUUUUGUAUUUUUGGUAGAGACAGGGUUUCACCAUGUUGGCCAGGCUGGUCUUGAACUGCUGACCUCGUGAUCCACCUGCCUCGGCCUCCCAAAAUGCUGGGAUUAUAGGUAUGAGUCACGGCGCCUGGCCAGCUUCAUCAUCUUUAAAAGCAAGAGAGCAAGCCCUGGAGGUUCACUCUUUCAAGAAGUCGUGUGCUGAGGUGUAAUGCUACACAAGUCAGAGGAAAGAAGGGUCCUGAAACACAUGGCCUGAUUGUUGGCAAAGGCAUCGUA